GACGAACGCUGGCGGCGUGCUUAACACAUGCAAGUCGAACGGAAAGGCCCUGCUUUUGUGGGGUGCUCGAGUGGCGAACGGGUGAGUAACACGUGAGUAACCUGCCCUUGACUUUGGGAUAACUUCAGGAAACUGGGGCUAAUACCGGAUAGGAGCUCCUGCUGCAUGGUGGGGGUUGGAAAGUUUCGGCGGUUGGGGAUGGACUCGCGGCUUAUCAGCUUGUUGGUGGGGUAGUGGCUUACCAAGGCUUUGACGGGUAGCCGGCCUGAGAGGGUGACCGGCCACAUUGGGACUGAGAUACGGCCCAGACUCCUACGGGAGGCUGCAGUGGGGAAUAUUGCACAAUGGGCGGAAGCCUGAUGCAGCAACGCCGCGUGCGGGAUGACGGCCUUCGGGUUGUAAACCGCUUUCGCCUGUGACGAAGCGUGAGUGACGGUAAUGGGUAAAGAAGCACCGGCUAGCUACGUG
This 468-nucleotide ribosomal RNA is filed under the name uncultured bacterium. Its description in RNAcentral is "partial 16S ribosomal RNA". It matches the Rfam family "Bacterial small subunit ribosomal RNA", at positions 28 to 507 of the family's 1533-position model. The record is from RNAcentral.